RNAcentral lists this ribosomal RNA (1385 nucleotides) under Nocardia sp. JAJ31. RNAcentral's name for it is "16S ribosomal RNA". It matches the Rfam family "Bacterial small subunit ribosomal RNA". The record is from RNAcentral. Lineage: Bacteria; Bacillati; Actinomycetota; Actinomycetes; Mycobacteriales; Nocardiaceae.
CAUGCAAGUCGUGCGGUAAGGCCAUUCGGGGUACACGAGCGGCGAACGGGUGAGUAACACGUGGGUGAUCUGCCUCGCACUCUGGGAUAAGCCUGGGAAACUGGGUCUAAUACCGGAUAUGAGCACGGGAUGCAUGUCCUGUGUUGGAAAGGUUUACUGGUGCGAGAUGGGCCCGCGGCCUAUCAGCUUGUUGGUGGGGUAACGGCCUACCAAGGCGACGACGGGUAGCCGACCUGAGAGGGUGACCGGCCACACUGGGACUGAGACACGGCCCAGACUCCUACGGGAGGCAGCAGUGGGGAAUAUUGCACAAUGGGCGAAAGCCUGAUGCAGCGACGCCGCGUGAGGGAUGACGGCCUUCGGGUUGUAAACCUCUUUCGACAGGGACGAAGCGCAAGUGACGGUACCUGUAGAAGAAGCACCGGCCAACUACGUGCCAGCAGCCGCGGUAAUACGUAGGGUGCGAGCGUUGUCCGGAUUACUGGGCGUAAAGAGCUGUAGCGGUCUGUCGCGUCUCUGUGAAAACUUGGGGCUCAACCCCAAGCUUGCAGGGGAUACGGGCAGACUAGAGUACUUCAGGGGAGACUGGAAUUCCUGGUGUAGCGGUGAAAUGCGCAGAUAUCAGGAGGAACACCGGUGGCGAAGGCGGGUCUCUGGGAAGUAACUGACGCUGAGAAGCGAAAGCGUGGGUAGCGAACAGGAUUAGAUACCCUGGUAGUCCACGCCGUAAACGGUGGGUACUAGGUGUGGGUUUCCUUCCACGGGAUCCGUGCCGUAGCUAACGCAUUAAGUACCCCGCCUGGGGAGUACGGCCGCAAGGCUAAAACUCAAAGGAAUUGACGGGGGCCCGCACAAGCGGCGGAGCAUGUGGAUUAAUUCGAUGCAACGCGAAGAACCUUACCUGGGUUUGACAUACACCGGAAAGCCAUAGAGAUAUGGCCCCCCUUGUGGUCGGUGUACAGGUGGUGCAUGGCUGUCGUCAGCUCGUGUCGUGAGAUGUUGGGUUAAGUCCCGCAACGAGCGCAACCCUUAUCUUAUGUUGCCAGCGCGUAAUGGCGGGGACUCGUGAGAGACUGCCGGGGUCAACUCGGAGGAAGGUGGGGACGACGUCAAGUCAUCAUGCCCCUUAUGUCCAGGGCUUCACACAUGCUACAAUGGCCGGUACAGAGGGCUGCGAUACCGUGAGGUGGAGCGAAUCCCUUAAAGCCGGUCUCAGUUCGGAUCGGGGUCUGCAACUCGACCCCGUGAAGUUGGAGUCGCUAGUAAUCGCAGAUCAGCAACGCUGCGGUGAAUACGUUCCCGGGCCUUGUACACACCGCCCGUCACGUCAUGAAAGUCGGUAACACCCGAAGCCGGUGGCCUAACCCUUGUGGAGGGAGCCGUCG